RNAcentral lists this ribosomal RNA (821 nucleotides) under Escherichia coli. Its description in RNAcentral is "partial 23S ribosomal RNA". It matches the Rfam family "Bacterial large subunit ribosomal RNA", at positions 711 to 1534 of the family's 2925-position model. Lineage: Bacteria; Pseudomonadati; Pseudomonadota; Gammaproteobacteria; Enterobacterales; Enterobacteriaceae. The record is from RNAcentral.
AGACCCGAAACCCGGUGAUCUAGCCAUGGGCAGGUUGAAGGUUGGGUAACACUAACUGGAGGACCGAACCGACUAAUGUUGAAAAAUUAGCGGAUGACUUGUGGCUGGGGGUGAAAGGCCAAUCAAACCGGGAGAUAGCUGGUUCUCCCCGAAAGCUAUUUAGGUAGCGCCUCGUGAAUUCAUCUCCGGGGGUAGAGCACUGUUUCGGCAAGGGGGUCAUCCCGACUUACCAACCCGAUGCAAACUGCGAAUACCGGAGAAUGUUAUCACGGGAGACACACGGCGGGUGCUAACGUCCGUCGUGAAGAGGGAAACAACCCAGACCGCCAGCUAAGGUCCCAAAGUCAUGGUUAAGUGGGAAACGAUGUGGGAAGGCCCAGACAGCCAGGAUGUUGGCUUAGAAGCAGCCAUCAUUUAAAGAAAGCGUAAUAGCUCACUGGUCGAGUCGGCCUGCGCGGAAGAUGUAACGGGGCUAAACCAUGCACCGAAGCUGCGGCAGCGACACUGUGUGUUGUUGGGUAGGGGAGCGUUCUGUAAGCCUGUGAAGGUGUGCUGUGAGGCAUGCUGGAGGUAUCAGAAGUGCGAAUGCUGACAUAAGUAACGAUAAAGCGGGUGAAAAGCCCGCUCGCCGGAAGACCAAGGGUUCCUGUCCAACGUUAAUCGGGGCAGGGUGAGUCGACCCCUAAGGCGAGGCCGAAAGGCGUAGUCGAUGGGAAACAGGUUAAUAUUCCUGUACUUGGUGUUACUGCGAAGGGGGGACGGAGAAGGCUAUGUUGGCCGGGCGACGGUUGUCCCGGUUUAAGCGUGUAGGCUGGUUUUCC